RNAcentral lists this long non-coding RNA (819 nucleotides) under Medicago truncatula (barrel medic). RNAcentral describes it as "long non-coding RNA (MTRU_LNC008857)". The record is from RNAcentral. Lineage: Eukaryota; Viridiplantae; Streptophyta; Magnoliopsida; Fabales; Fabaceae.
UGAGAAAAAAAGUGAUGGACUGGUCAAAGAUAGAAAGGGCAGACAGCUCAAGGUCACUGAGGAGAAAGAGGGACCUGAAGAAUCAGAUUCACAAGUAGGGGUAUGACUCACCAGUAGUAGUUUAGCUUCUAUUGCAUUUGGUUUUUUGAUAUUAAUUUGUUUUCUUUGCUUCACCUGAAACUGUAAUUACAUGCUUUAUUUUUUUCUUAUCUAUCUAUAUCUAUAUCACUAUGCAGAUGGAGCUGAAAAAGAAACCGAUGAAAGAUGCACAAGCCAUGGCUGAGAAAAAAAGUGAUGGACUGGUCAAAGAUAGAAAGGGCAGACAGCUCAAGGUCACUGAGGAGAAAGAGGGACCUGAAGAAUCAGAUUCACAAGUAGGGGUAUGACUCACUAGUAGUAGUUUAGCUUCUAUUGCAUUUGGUUUUUUGAUAUUAAUUUGUUUUCUUUGCUUCACCUGAAACUGUAAUUACAUGCUUUAUUUUUUUCUUAUCUAUCUAUAUCUAUAUCACUAUGCAGAUGGAGCUGAAAAAGAAACCGAUGAAAGAUGCACAAGCCAUGGCUGAGAAAAAAAGUGAUGGACUGGUCAAAGAUAGAAAGGGCAGACAGCUCAAGGUCACUGAGGAGAAAGAGGGACCUGAAGAAUCAGAUUCACAAGUAGGGGUAUGACUCACUAGUAGGAGUUUAGCUUCUAUUGCAUUUGGUUUUUUGAUAUUAAUUUGUUUUCUUUGCUUCACCUGAAACUGUAAUUACAUGCUUUAUUUUUUUCUUAUCUAUCUAUAUAUCUAUAUCACUAUGCAGAUGGAGCUGAAAAAGAAACCG